UCAUCAGUGAAGACUAGGAGUUCAAGCUUCCUGGAGUGGGUGAGGUUCCUCAUUUUCUCUCUCUGUUUCCUUUUCUAACUCAGAUUCUUCAGAUUUCCAGACAACUGUUUUCUGCCAAAAAGUUGCACAAACAAAACAUUACCUCAAUACACAUAAUGGCAAGGAAAUCUUUUGAAGAAAAAAUUGCAAAUGUUUUGGCAUACAAAAGGAGUAGCACGUAUCCUGAAGGAAUGACUAAAGCAGGCAGACUGAACCUGCGUCGAUAUGCUGUCAACUUUUCAU
Non-coding RNA from Chelonoidis abingdonii (Abingdon island giant tortoise), 282 nucleotides. The record is from RefSeq and is a predicted model, not a curated record. Lineage: Eukaryota; Metazoa; Chordata; Testudines; Testudinidae.